CACGUAGGGUGCGAGCGUUGUCCGGAUUUACUGGGCGUAAAGAGCGUGUAGGCGGCCAAGCAGGUCCGUUGUGAAAACUGGAGGCUUAACCUCCAGACGUCGACGGAAACCGCGUGGCUAGAGUCCGGAAGAGGAGAGUGGAAUUCCUGGUGUAGCGGUGAAAUGCGCAGAUAUCAGGAAGAACACCAAUGGCGAAGGCAGCUCUCUGGGACGGUACUGACGCUGAGACGCGAAAGCGUGGGGAGCGAACAGG
Molecule: ribosomal RNA, 253 nt
Filed under: uncultured bacterium
Lineage: Bacteria
Description: partial 16S ribosomal RNA
Rfam family: Bacterial small subunit ribosomal RNA
Source: RNAcentral